GCCGCCCCGGAGCCCCAUGAGAGCCGCGGGCCCCCUCCGCCUCCUGGCCCUGGGGGCCGCGGCCGGGCUGGCCUGGCUGGCGAUGACGUCACUGCUGGGCCCGCCCCGGGCCCCGCCCACCCUGCUGCGGCUGCUGCGGCGUGAUGAGGCCCCGCCCACGGCAGAGCCCCGCCCCCCCCGGUUCAAGUGCGGCCUCCCCCGGCCCUGCCCCCCCCGGCACUUCGCCUUCCGCCUCCUGAGCGGCGCCGCCAACGUGGUGGGACCGAGAAUCUGCCUGGAGGGGCGAGAGUUGAUGAGCAGCGUCAAGAACAACGUGGGGAGGGGCCUGAACAUCGCCCUGGUCAACGGGGUCAGCGGGGAGCUGAUCGCGGCCCAGGCCUUCGACAUGUGGGCAGGGGACGUUGAGGACCUGCUGCGUUUCCUGCGGCCGCUGCACGAGGGAACUUUGGUGCUCGUGGCCUCCUACGACGACCCCGCCACCAAGCUGACCGAGGAGAGCCGUCGGAUUUUCGGGGAGCUCGGCAGCGCCGUGGCCAAAGAUUUGGGGUUCAGGGACAGUUGGGUGUUCCUGGGGGCCAAAGGGGUGCAGGACAGGAGCCCCUUCGAGCAGCACGUCCGGAACAGCCGCGGCUCCAACAAGUACGAGGGGUGGCCGCAGGCGCUGGAGCUCGGGGGGUGCGUCCCCCAGCGCCCCCCGGGGUGACCCCGAAACCAAAGGGGGGACCCCGAAAUCGGGGGGACCCCAAAACCCACAGAGACCCCAAAAACCCCUCAGGAACCCCCAAAAAACCCCCCACAGAGACCCCAAAAACCCCUCAGAGACCCCAAAUAAAGCUCGGGGCGGUUCUGG
Molecule: long non-coding RNA, 850 nt
Filed under: Taeniopygia guttata (zebra finch)
Lineage: Eukaryota; Metazoa; Chordata; Aves; Passeriformes; Estrildidae
Description: lncRNA (ENSTGUG00000022218.1)
Source: RNAcentral